UACGGAAGGGGCGAGCGUUGUUCGGAAUCAUUGGGCGUAAAGGGCGCGUAGGUGGUUCUGUAUGUCUGCCGUGAAAGCGUACGGCUCAACCGUAUUUUGUCGGUAGAAACUGCAGGACUUGAGGCUGGGAGGGGCUGGUGGAAUUCCCUGUGUAGCGGUGAAAUGCGUAGAGAUGGGGGAGAACACUCGUGGCGAAGGCGGCCAGCUAGACCAGUUCUGACACUGAGGCGCGACAGCAUGGGGAGCAAACAGG
This 253-nucleotide ribosomal RNA is filed under the name uncultured bacterium. RNAcentral describes it as "partial 16S ribosomal RNA". It matches the Rfam family "Bacterial small subunit ribosomal RNA", at positions 524 to 776 of the family's 1533-position model. The record is from RNAcentral.